RNAcentral lists this ribosomal RNA (500 nucleotides) under uncultured bacterium. RNAcentral's name for it is "bacterial SSU rRNA". It matches the Rfam family "Bacterial small subunit ribosomal RNA", at positions 28 to 507 of the family's 1533-position model. The record is from RNAcentral.
GACGAACGCUGGCGGCGUGCCUAAUACAUGCAAGUCGAGCGGAAUGAUGAAGAAGCUUGCUUCUUCUGAUUUUAGCGGCGGACGGGUGAGUAACACGUGGGCAACCUACCUUGUAGAUUGGGAUAACCCCGGGAAACCGGGGCUAAUACCGAAUAAUCCAUUUUGCUUCAUGGCGAGAUGUUGAAAGACGGUUUCGGCUGUCACUACAAGAUGGGCCCGCGGCGCAUUAGCUAGUUGGUAGGGUAAUGGCCUACCAAGGCGACGAUGCGUAGCCGACCUGAGAGGGUGAUCGGCCACACUGGGACUGAGACACGGCCCAGACUCCUACGGGAGGCAGCAGUAGGGAAUCUUCCACAAUGGACGAAAGUCUGAUGGAGCAACGCCGCGUGAGUGAAGAAGGUUUUCGGAUCGUAAAACUCUGUUGUAAGGGAAGAACACGUACGAGAGUAACUGCUCGUACCUUGACGGUACCUUAUUAGAAAGCCACGGCUAACUACGUG